This 877-nucleotide ribosomal RNA is filed under the name Amphibacillus sp. In2-1-2. Its description in RNAcentral is "bacterial SSU rRNA". It matches the Rfam family "Bacterial small subunit ribosomal RNA", at positions 61 to 922 of the family's 1533-position model. The record is from RNAcentral. Lineage: Bacteria; Bacillati; Bacillota; Bacilli; Caryophanales; Bacillaceae.
UUCGAACGCUGAARCACUCUGCUUGCAGAGUGURGAUGAGUGGCGAACGGGGGAGCAACACGUGGGGAACCUGCCCAUAAGAGGGGGAUAACAUCCGGAAACGGGUGCUAAUACCGCAUAGGUGAUCAUAGCGCAUGCUUAGAUCAUUAAAGAUGGCUUCGGCUAUCGCUUAUGGAUGGCCCCGCGGCGUAUUAGCUAGUUGGUGAGGUAAUGGCUCACCAAGGCUGUGAUACGUAGCCGACCUGAGAGGGUGAUCGGCCACACUGGAACUGAGACACGGUCCAGACUCCUACGGGAGGCAGCAGUAGGGAAUCUUCCACAAUGGGCGAAAGCCUGAUGGAGCAAUACCGCGUGAGUGAAGAAGGUCUUCGGAUCGUAAAGCUCUGUUGUUAGAGAAGAACAAGAGGUGUAGUAACUGGCACCUCCUUGACGGUAUCUAACCAGAAAGUCACGGCUAACUACGUGCCAGCAGCCGCGGUAAUACGUAGGUGACAAGCGUUGUCCGGAUUUAUUGGGCGUAAAGCGAGCGCAGGCGGUCUUUUAAGUCUGAUGUGAAAGCCCACGGCUCAACCGUGGAGGGUCAUUGGAAACUGGAAGACUUGAAUGCAGAAGAGGAAAGUGGAAUUCCAUGUGUAGCGGUGAAAUGCGUAGAUAUAUGGAGGAACACCAGUGGCGAAGGCGACUUUCUGGUCUGUAAUUGACGCUGAGGCUCGAAAGCGUGGGGAGCGAACAGGAUUAGAUACCCUGGUAGUCCACGCCGUAACGAUGAGUGCUAAGUGUUGGAGGGUUUCCGCCCUUCAGUGCUGGAGCUACGCAUUAAGCMCUCCSCCUGGGGGAGUACGGCCGCAGCUGAACUCACAGGAAUUGACCGGGACCC